AAAUUGAAGAGUUUGAUCAUGGCUCAGAUUGAACGCUGGCGGCAGGCCUAACACAUGCAAGUCGAGCGGAAACGAGUUAUCUGAACCUUCGGGGAACGAUAACGGCGUCGAGCGGCGGACGGGUGAGUAAUGCCUAGGAAAUUGCCCUGRUGUGGGGGAUAACCAUUGGAAACGAUGGCUAAUACCGCAUGAUGCCUACGGGCCAAAGAGGGGGACCUUCGGGCCUCUCGCGUCAGGAUAUGCCUAGGUGGGAUUAGCUAGUUGGUGAGGUAAGGGCUCACCAAGGCGACGAUCCCUAGCUGGUCUGAGAGGAUGAUCAGCCACACUGGAACUGAGACACGGUCCAGACUCCUACGGGAGGCAGCAGUGGGGAAUAUUGCACAAUGGGCGCAAGCCUGA
Molecule: ribosomal RNA, 399 nt
Filed under: Vibrio parahaemolyticus
Lineage: Bacteria; Pseudomonadati; Pseudomonadota; Gammaproteobacteria; Vibrionales; Vibrionaceae
Description: bacterial SSU rRNA
Source: RNAcentral